GGAGAGAUGGCCGAGUGGUUUAUGGCUCCGGUCU
This 34-nucleotide transfer RNA is filed under the name Isoetes yunguiensis. RNAcentral describes it as "partial tRNA-Ser". The record is from RNAcentral. Lineage: Eukaryota; Viridiplantae; Streptophyta; Lycopodiopsida; Isoetales; Isoetaceae.